RNAcentral lists this transfer RNA (72 nucleotides) under Candidatus Hodgkinia cicadicola. Its description in RNAcentral is "tRNA-Pro". It matches the Rfam family "tRNA". Rfam says of the family: Transfer RNA (tRNA) molecules are approximately 80 nucleotides in length. Their secondary structure includes four short double-helical elements and three loops (D, anti-codon, and T loops). Further hydrogen bonds mediate the characteristic L-shaped molecular structure. tRNAs have two regions of fundamental functional importance: the anti-codon, which is responsible for specific mRNA codon recognition, and the 3' end, to which the tRNAs corresponding amino acid is attached (by aminoacyl-tRNA synthetases). tRNAs cope with the degeneracy of the genetic code in two manners: having more than one tRNA (with a specific anti-codon) for a particular amino acid; and 'wobble' base-pairing, i.e. permitting non-standard base-pairing at the 3rd anti-codon position. The record is from RNAcentral. Lineage: Bacteria; Pseudomonadati; Pseudomonadota; Alphaproteobacteria; Hyphomicrobiales.
GGCCCCUUGGUGUAGUGGUUGCAUUUCGGUUUCGGGUACCGGAGGUGCCGGGUUCAAAACCUGAAGGGGCCA